GAUGAACGCUAGCUACAGGCUUAACACAUGCAAGUCGAGGGGCAUCAGUUUGGUUUGCUUGCAAACCAAAGCUGGCGACCGGCGCACGGGUGAGUAACACGUAUCCAACCUGCCUCAUACUCGGGGAUAGCCUUUCGAAAGAAAGAUUAAUAUCCGAUAGCAUAUAUUUCCCGCAUGGGUUUUAUAUUAAGGAAAUUCGGUAUGAGAUGGGGAUGCGUUCCAUUAGGCAGUUGGCGGGGUAACGGCCCACCAAACCGACGAUGGAUAGGGGUUCUGAGAGGAAGGUCCCCCACAUUGGUACUGAGACACGGACCAA
Molecule: ribosomal RNA, 316 nt
Filed under: uncultured bacterium
Lineage: Bacteria
Description: bacterial SSU rRNA
Rfam family: Bacterial small subunit ribosomal RNA
Source: RNAcentral